GUGCUUCCUUGAGCAGCACAUAUGCUGACAUUGGAAAGAUACCGAGAUUAGCUUUGCCCUUCUGCAAAGAUGGCAUGCAAGUUCACGAAGAAUUCCAUGUUUAG
This is a small nuclear RNA of Rattus norvegicus (Norway rat), 104 nucleotides long. The record is from Ensembl. NCBI's taxonomy places the organism in Eukaryota, Metazoa, Chordata, Mammalia, Rodentia, Muridae.